This 651-nucleotide long non-coding RNA is filed under the name Oryza sativa Indica Group (long-grained rice). RNAcentral describes it as "lncRNA OsPr106_07g0006690". Lineage: Eukaryota; Viridiplantae; Streptophyta; Magnoliopsida; Poales; Poaceae. The record is from RNAcentral.
GACGCGGCCCAUUUGGGCACCACCGCUUCUCGGCCCGGCCCAGCAGCGGUUGAUUUGGGCCGAGACCAACCCACCACCACCCGCGGAGUAGGCGACGGCGGCGAAGCCCACGGCGGAAGCUUCUGGAAGAUUGGAGGAGUUGAGAUCAAGAUCUGGAUUAGCCCUAGAGUUGGUAACGAAGCUCACCAUGAUUGUUCAGGUUUAUCGGGGCGUCUGACACUUGCUGCUUCCAAGGAAUUGGUAUGAGAGGAUCCACAUGGUUCUGACAUUGUAUAGAUAUUUUACAUGGCACACCAUCACUCCUACCAAAGGGAACUAAGCAAGUCGUGAGGACACGAUUUUUUUUGCCAUUUGGCAGCACCUGUGGGUUUAAUUGCUUCAUGGCUUCAUGUUAGGUGACAAGAUUAGAGAAGAUGUUGGCAUUCUACGAGAGGGGAUUAAAGAAUGAAGCUGUGUGAUUAGCAUAUAAUAUAAUGCCAUGGCCGGGUGCAGAAUGUUUUAUUUUAUCAAUCAGAUGUGCCAGGAUCAGGUAGUGCAUUAUUUACCUGAUGAAAUAUUUCGAGUUUAUUUCGCUACGUUUGACUCAGGUUGUUCAAGUUUCAAGAUAUAUACUAUCUUUGCUUGGUUAAAAUUAUUGAUAUAUUUUUCUGU